RNAcentral lists this ribosomal RNA (380 nucleotides) under uncultured bacterium. RNAcentral's name for it is "bacterial SSU rRNA". It matches the Rfam family "Bacterial small subunit ribosomal RNA", at positions 29 to 412 of the family's 1533-position model. The record is from RNAcentral.
AUUGAACGCUGGCGGCAUGCUUUACACAUGCAAGUCGAACGGUAACAGGCCUUCGGGUGCUGACGAGUGGCGAACGGGUGAGUAAUGCAUCGGAACGUGCCCAAUCGUGGGGGAUAACGUAGCGAAAGUUACGCUAAUACCGCAUAAGCCCUGAGGGGGAAAGUGGGGGACCGCAAGGCCUCACGCGAAUGGAGCGGCCGAUGUCAGAUUAGCUAGUUGGUGGGGUAAAGGCUCACCAAGGCGACGAUCUGUAGCGGGUCUGAGAGGAUGAUCCGCCACACUGGGACUGAGACACGGCCCAGACUCCUACGGGAGGCAGCAGUGGGGAAUUUUGGACAAUGGGCGCAAGCCUGAUCCAGCCAUGCCGCGUGCGGGACGAA